GACGAACGCUGGCGGCGUGCUUAACACAUGCAAGUCGAACGGAAAGGCCCUGCUUUUGUGGGGUGCUCGAUUGGCGAACGGGUGAGUAACACGUGAGUAACCUGCCCUUGACUUUGGGAUAACUUCAGGAAACUGGGGCUAAUACCGGAUAGGAGCUCCUGCGGCAUGGUGGGGGUUGGAAAUUUUCGGCGGUUGGGGAUGGACUCGCGGCUUAUCAGCUUGUUGGUGGGGUAGUGGCUUACCAAGGCUUUGACGGGUAGCCGGCCUGAGAGGGUGACCGGCCACAUUGGGACUGAGAUACGGCCCAGACUCCUACGGGAGGCAGCAGUGGGGAAUAUUGCACAAUGGGCGGAAGCCUGAUGCAGCAACGCCGCGUGCGGGAUGACGGCCUUCGGGUUGUAAACCGCUUUCGCCUGUGACGAAGCGUGAGUGACGGUAAUGGGUAAAGAAGCACCGGCUAACUACGUG
RNAcentral lists this ribosomal RNA (468 nucleotides) under uncultured bacterium. RNAcentral describes it as "partial 16S ribosomal RNA". It matches the Rfam family "Bacterial small subunit ribosomal RNA", at positions 28 to 507 of the family's 1533-position model. The record is from RNAcentral.